Zootoca vivipara (common lizard) is the source of this 524-nucleotide long non-coding RNA. RefSeq lists it as uncharacterized. The record is from RefSeq and is a predicted model, not a curated record. Lineage: Eukaryota; Metazoa; Chordata; Lepidosauria; Squamata; Lacertidae.
CGAAGAAGCAACAUCUGCUUAGCCAAAGAUGCUUCCAGCCAAGAGAGGACAAAGGGGCUAUCUCCUUAUGGGAUAGUUUCCAGGUGUGUGUUACUUUUCUAAGCUAAGUCUGCCUUCUGGGAUCCUACUGUGAACAGGAUGUAGGUUUUUGUAAGAUCAUUGGGGAGACAGGACCAGCAUGGAACUGGUGAAGAUGCUGCAAGCAGGAAGAGAUAUGAUCCAGCACGCCUCCCCCCUGCUAUGCAUCCUUCCUGAGAAGCUGAUGACAUCACAGAAGCCGGGCUGGAAUGCUGGGGGCUGUUCCAUCCAUCUAGCCUCCAAUUCUACUAGGGAGUUCUUCUGGGGAAUUGGGGUUGGGGGUUGGAAAGGGGAGAUGGAUUAUCUUCCUGCUGGGCUUUUUCUUCUUUUUCUCCUCCUCCUGCUGGGCUUUUUAAUCCAGUUCCUGCGAAGAGGAAUAGAGCUCCGAGGCAGGAGUAUGGAAAGCUCUGUUGCAGGUUUGGGAGGCUCUGUCGUAAAGGGUAUGG